Molecule: long non-coding RNA, 1587 nt
Organism: Brassica napus (rape)
Lineage: Eukaryota; Viridiplantae; Streptophyta; Magnoliopsida; Brassicales; Brassicaceae
Exons: 3
Source: RefSeq, a predicted model, not a curated record
AUUUGAACUCGAGACCGGUUUUACUUCAAGUUUUCUCUUAUCACUAAAGUACUACUGUUUGAUUCGUAUUGUAAAAUAAAAUAAUCCAAAACAAUAACAAAAAAACAAAAUUUUGACUAAGAAAUAUAAAAAGAAUCACAGUUUUAAGUUUCUAUCUAUACUCUAACUAAAAGCAUGUAACCAAUAGAAUCGAAGUUUUAAGUUUCUAUCUAUAUUUUUAACUACAGUUGGAUGUUCUGAUAUUCAUUCGGGAUCGGAUCGGGUAUUUCAAAUUUUUGGUAUCUCGGUGUAGGGGUAUAGAACCCAUUCAAGUAUUUUUAUAUAUUGGUCGGAUUUGGAUAUAUAUAACUCGGGUUUGGGUAAUUCGAGUUGGAUUUGGUUAUUUAAAUUUACAUAAAAAUAUGUGGGAUAAACAUAGCUCAUGAAUCAAAACAAAAAAAUCUGAAUCAAAUAGUAAUAUGUAAAUGGUAAGAUAAAACAAUAUAAUAUUAAACAAACAAUGACAAAAUAGGUUAUUAACCAAAGAACAAGACAUCAAAUACUCAAAGAUCAAUAGUAGUGCUUCACCAAAUCAAUCUUUUUUUUAAAAAGAAUGUAUCUUCCAGUAAAAUGGAAAAGUGUGGAAAAAGUAAAGACGGAAGUACUAAAUCUUUGGUAUAUAUGGGAUUGGGUUUAGACAAAACUAUGAAAAAAAUGAGUCUAAACUAUUAAAGGUUUGGGUUAUUAUAUGUAUUUCAGAUAUUUCAGGUUUCGGGAUCGUUUUUAUCCUUGUUCAAAAAAUCAGCCGCGGAGGCGAUUACUCGACCGGUUAAACGUGAUGCGGGUGGGCUCCGUGGCGAAUUGAGUCACUUCGGUUGCAUUACGCGGUGGGCCAUGGAAUUGACGUGGACGGCGUAGAAUUAGAAAACGCGUUGCGUAAUGGUGAAGAAACUUCCUCCAAUUCAAAUGGGUUGUCGAAAGGUUGAACCCUCGUUACAGAUACAUGGUGGUUGUGUUGGUGUAGCGAGAACAAAUCAAAAGGCACGCCAAGUUCAAAGCACGCCAACUGUUCGAUGAAAUUCCUAAGAGAAGGUUCAUAUGAUUGUAAACUGUAAAGAUUAUAAUGCUUUGAUGAUCAUGAGAUGCGGAGACGUUAGUGGUGCGUUACCACAAAAUCAAGUGAAGGUGUUUGGUUCCAAAGACAUUGUUAUUAUGCUCAUGAAGCUCUUCUUUGAGAAUGGUGAAGUCAAUUUAGAACUAAACCUGAGGAAAUAUAUGAUGGAGAAAGGGUAUUGCCCUCAUGGCCACGCAUUGGAACUCUUUACCAGUGCAUAGUGUGUUUGAAGAAAACACAAUGAUACUUUUAAGUGCUCAACGCAGACAAUGGAGAGAGGAAGGUGAGUGAGUAAACCAGACUAUUGUUCAAGUUGUAUACAUAAUAUUUGACUAAAUAUUGACAAUAUUGUAGUUUGCUCCUAUAUUUAUAAAUACGUGAAUUUUAGUAUCAAUAAUGUUUUAUGCACAGGCAUCUAUUAUACAUAAAAUUUUGUAUUAUACGUAUAAAUAGAGUAUUAUACAUACAAAAAUACAAAAAAAUUUCCUCGCGUA